CCCCCUGGAGUCGACUCCAUUUCCCAAGAAAAUAUGUCAACAGCGCGACUUGUAACAAUUAUAAGGCCGAGGAGGGUUAUUUGAACACACACCAUUCAAUUAUUAUAAAUGAAAGUCACGUUUUUUAACCGCUCCGGUCUCGUCCCAGCGGAAGUGACGCUAGCACGUCAUCAGAAUACAACAGAUCAACACGACGAGAGAGACAUUCUGCCGCUAGACGAAGGUCACCGAGCAGCGACGAAGUUUGCAUUUUCGGUAGAGGUCCAGGGAGCCACGAGGGCGGUGCUAAAGAGACGCGGGUUGCUGACCCCCGGCCUACACCCUAGACUGGCCGCCAGUUCAUCACAGGACACAUGAACAAGCCUUCGCCCUCAAAUCAGAGAAAAAUGGCAACAGCAGAGGAUGGAUGUCCCAUAACAAGAAGGUGGAGAAAAAGAAGAAGCUUAUCGACUACGGUGUCGGCACGGACUACAAAGGCGGACCUGCACAAAUUUUCAGGUACCAGAAGGUAAGAAAAGUUUCUUUUGCAUAAUAUUGCGAAACAAAACACCAGAAAAUAUGUCUUACCUUAUACACACACCAUAAUAAUACUCCUAUGUUGAAGCACAGUACAAUCCAUCAAGCGGUGCAGUUUCAUAGCUGACCAAAGUCCUACUAAAACAUUUUGAUAGAUUUUUGAGCGCCGUGUGUAAUGUUCUAUAUUUUCAAUGGAGCAUAUACAAUGUUGGUGUUGUUUACUUGAGUCAUAUUGCGGUCUACACGAAAUCAAAUCAAAUCAAUAAUGGAGCAGCAUCUCCUCAUCCGGAAACAACCACACCGGAAAUGUGUCCCGUGAAAAACCGUUCAACCGGAGCUCUC
Long non-coding RNA from Entelurus aequoreus (snake pipefish), 858 nucleotides. RefSeq lists it as uncharacterized. The record is from RefSeq and is a predicted model, not a curated record. Lineage: Eukaryota; Metazoa; Chordata; Actinopteri; Syngnathiformes; Syngnathidae. The transcript has 4 exons.